Molecule: ribosomal RNA, 301 nt
Filed under: uncultured bacterium
Lineage: Bacteria
Description: partial 16S ribosomal RNA
Rfam family: Bacterial small subunit ribosomal RNA
Source: RNAcentral
CAGCAGCCGCGGUAAUACGGAGGGUGCAAGCGUUAAUCGGAAUUACUGGGCGUAAAGCGUGCGUAGGCGGUUCGUUAAGUCUGUUGUGAAAGCCCCGGGCUCAACCUGGGAAUGGCAAUGGAUACUGGCGAGCUAGAGUGUGUCAGAGGAUGGUGGAAUUCCCGGUGUAGCGGUGAAAUGCGUAGAGAUCGGGAGGAACAUCAGUGGCGAAGGCGGCCAUCUGGGACAACACUGACGCUGAGGCACGAAAGCGUGGGGAGCAAACAGGAUUAGAUACCCCAGUAGUCCCUGUCUCUUAUAC